UCUUCUUGCUGGAGCUUUACAACCCGUUAUUGGGUUACUUAGUUCCUCCUGUCCGGAAAGCCAAAGGGAAGCAGCUUUAUUACUUGGACAAUUUGCAGCAACCGACUCCGACUGCAAGAUUCACAUUGUGCAAAGAGGUACCGUACCGCCACUGAUUGAGAUGCUUCAAUCUCUGGAUGCUCAACUUAGGGAAAUGUCAGCCUUUGCCCUUGGAAGGUUGGCACAGGACACUCACAAUCAGGCUGGUAUUGCUCAUUGUGGUGGAAUAGUCCCAUUAUUGAAGCUUCUAGAAUCAAAAAAUGGAUCGUUGCAACAUAAUGCUGCAUUUGCUCUUUAUGGGCUUGCUGAUAACGAGGAUAAUGUUACAGAUCUUGUAAAGGUUGGAGGUGUUCAAAAGCUUCAGGAUGGAGAAUUUAUUGUCCAACCAACUAGAGAUUGUGUUGCGAAGACAUUGAAAAGAUUGGAAGAGAAGAUUCAUGGACGGGUAUUAGGCCAUUUAUUGUAUUUGAUGCAUGUUGGGGAAAAGGUUAUUCAAAGACGAGUUGCUCUUGUGCUUGCCCAUCUUUGUUCACCAGAUGACCAAAAGAUGAUAUUUAUUGAUAAUGGUGGAUUGGAAUUGCUUUUAGAGCUUCUAGAAUCAACAAACUUGAAGCACCAAAGAGAUGGUUCUGUAGCUUUAUGCAAGUUGGCUAACAAAGCCAGCUCACUUUCACCCGUUGAUGCAGCCCCUCCAUCUCCUACACCUCAGGUCUAUCUGGGUGAGCUGUAUGUAAAUAAUUCUACGCUAUCUGAUGUGACAUUUUUAGUCGAAGGCAAACGGUUUUAUGCCCACAGAAUUUGUUUACUUGCUUCUUCUGAUGCAUUUCGCGCAAUGUUUGAUGGUGGCUACAGGGAGAGAGAUGCCAAAGAUAUAGAGAUUCCCAACAUUCCAUGGGAUGUUUUUGAGUUGAUGAU
This 954-nucleotide unclassified non-coding RNA is filed under the name Hevea brasiliensis (rubber tree). The record is from RNAcentral. Lineage: Eukaryota; Viridiplantae; Streptophyta; Magnoliopsida; Malpighiales; Euphorbiaceae.